This 468-nucleotide ribosomal RNA is filed under the name uncultured bacterium. RNAcentral describes it as "partial 16S ribosomal RNA". It matches the Rfam family "Bacterial small subunit ribosomal RNA", at positions 28 to 507 of the family's 1533-position model. The record is from RNAcentral.
GACGAACGCUGGCGGCGUGCUUAACACAUGCAAGUCGAACGGAAAGGCCCUGCUUUUGUGGGGUGCUCGAGUGGCGAACGGGUGAGUAACACGUGAGUAACCUGCCCUUGACUUUGGGAUAACUUCAGGAAACUGGGGCUAAUACCGGAUAGGAGCUCCUGCUGCAUGGUGGGGGUUGGAAAGUUUCGGCGGUUGGGGAUGGACUCGCGGCUUAUCAGCUUGUUGGUGGGGUAGUGGCUUACCAAGGCUUUGACGGGUAGCCGGCCUGAGAGGGUGACCGGCCACAUUGGGGCUGAGAUACGGCCCAGACUCCUACGGGAGGCAGCAGUGGGGAAUAUUGCACAAUGGGCGGAAGCCUGAUGCAGCAACGCCGCGCGCGGGAUGACGGCCUUCGGGUUGUAAACCGCUUUCGCCUGUGACGAAGCGUGAGUGACGGUAAUGGGUAAAGAAGCACCGGCUAACUACGUG